This 440-nucleotide long non-coding RNA is filed under the name Aquilegia coerulea. RNAcentral's name for it is "long non-coding RNA (ACOE_LNC000313)". The record is from RNAcentral. Lineage: Eukaryota; Viridiplantae; Streptophyta; Magnoliopsida; Ranunculales; Ranunculaceae.
CCACACUUACAGGAGGCAGGUAACAUACUGCAGAUGAUACUUAUCAAAAGACUACAACAGCAAAUCUCACACAGACACAACAGCAAAGUUUUAUUCCCACUGAGGUUUGAGGUUCGGGAUUAUAGACCUUAUGGACUUCAUAUAUACACAGACCCACACUUACAGGAGGCAGAAAACAUGUUCAUGGUAGAUAGAACGACCUUCUGGGGAUCUAGCAACAGCCUGUAUCAGGAAUUGUCACCCAUGGACCAUCUGCAUGUAAACAUGACAACUAAAUCAAAAGCUGUAAGAGCAGCAAUACAGACUUGCUUAUGACUGUAUGCCCAAGAGCACGUGUGUAUUUAUUUUAAGUUGUGGAAAGGGCUUUGGUUCACAGAAUGAAGUGUCCAUAGAUGGAAUUCAUGGCUAAGUUGCAAAUAGAGGCAACACAAUAGACAGAU